AUGUACCUCAUGUUUUCUUCCAUAAUGCAACACAAACUGAAGAACUCUGAACCAUAAUCAUCAUGUCACGACAGUUCUCAUUGGACAGGAGGUUGAAUGUCCCGAUGUUGACAUGGAUACUAACACUGACGUGAUGUUAUAACACAUUAAAACAGAGCUGUACAAUAGGCUAAGAUCAGCUAAAUGUAAUGACAUUACUUCAUGUUUAGAACACAGGUUUCAAAAAAUAGUUUUUAAAAGUCAGUUAAAUUGACCUAAAGUUAAUCAGAGAAAUUUCAUUAAAACAAGACUUCAGAUUGUGGUGUUUUUUUGUCCAAAAGCAAACCACAACUCAAGGUUGGUAGUAGUAGUGCUAGCUAUAACCUGUAGCUGCUAAAUGUGUUGAUCUAGCUGUAACCUGUAGCUGCUAAAUGUGUUGAUCUAGCUGAAACCUGUAGCUGCUAAAUGUGUUGAUCUAGCUAUAACCUGUAGCUGCUAAAUGUGUUGAUCUAGCUGUAACCUGUAGCUGCUAAAUGUGUUGAUCUAGCUAUAACCUGUAGCUGCUAAAUGUGUUGAUCUAACUAUAACCUGUAGCUUCUAAAUGUGUUGAUCUAGCAGUAACCUGUAGCUGCUAAAUGUGUUGAUCUAGCUGAAACCUGUAGCUGCUAAAUGUGUUGAUCUAACUAUAACCUGUAGCUGCUAAAUGUGUUGAUCUAGCAGUAACCUGUAGCUGCUAAAUGUGUUGAUCUAGCUGAAACCUGUAGCUGCUAAAUGUGUUGAUCUAGCUAUAACCUGUAGCUGCUAAAUGUGUUGAUCUAGCUGUAACCUGUAGCUGCUAAAUGUGUUGAUCUAGCUAUAACCUGUAGCUGCUAAAUGUGUUGAUCUAGCUAUAACCUGUAGCUGCUAAAUGUGUUGAUCUAGCUAUAACCUGUAGCUAGUACUACAGUAAAUGUGCAAGUCCAGAGAUAACAUUACAUAUCCGAGUUGAGGACAGAGGAGUGAGGUUAGAGUGGCCUAUGUUAAGCCAUGAGUAGUCAUAUCCAGGGUCUAGGGGUCAGGGGUCCAGGCCAAGGUCUAGGGGAUCCAGGCCAAGGUCUAGGGGUCGGGGAUCCAGGCCAAGGUCUAGGGGUCGGGGAUCCAGGGCAAGGUCCAGGAGUCGGGUGUCCAGGCCAAGGUCCAGGGGUUGGGGAUCCAGGUCAAGGUCUAGGGGUUGGGGAUCCAGAUCAAGGUCUAGGGGUUGGGGAUCCAGAUCAAGAUCUAGGGGUUGGGGAUCCAGGUCAAGAUCUAGGGGUUGGGGAUCCAGGUCAAGAUCUAGGGGUUGGGGAUCAAGGCCAAGGUCUAGGGGUUGGAGGUCCAGGCCAAGGGGGUCCAGGCCAAGAUCUAGGGGUCGGGAAUCCAGGCCAAGGUCUAGGGGUUGGCGGUCUGAGGGUCUGUUGGGCUAGGAGUUUGGUCCAGGGCCUCCAACUUGGGGGGGCGGUCUGGGGCUCCAAGGGGGGUGGUCUAAUGGGACUCUGUCCCGACUAAGAAGCCCUCUCCUCGGGGUGAAGUUGACCGUGAGACCCCUCUCUCAGUGUUGUUGUCUGAGCUGGAGCCACUGUGGUGUUCUGCAGACACAGACACAGUGCUGGAGGGGGUGGUAGAGGAGGGGGGUGUGGUGGUGCUGGUGGAGGAGGGGGGAGGUUUGGUUUUCUCCUUAAAGUCUGUGAUGAUGACAGUCAGGUCUCCAACCGUGACCUCUAGGUGCUGAGCGCUGCUCCUGUCAAUAUUUUUUUAACCU
RNAcentral lists this long non-coding RNA (1756 nucleotides) under Salmo salar (Atlantic salmon). Its description in RNAcentral is "lncRNA (ENSSSAG00000112519.1)". Lineage: Eukaryota; Metazoa; Chordata; Actinopteri; Salmoniformes; Salmonidae. The record is from RNAcentral.